CACAAUAUAUAAAUCUGCCCCACAGGCUGCAGGCUGGAUUAUUUUAUUACCCUUGUCUUUUGCGCACCUUGUUGUUUCCUGGGCGGGUUCGCCCGCCAUCCAGGACCACAUAUAAACCUUUUUUAUGCAGUUGCAAUCAGCGUCAGUACAACAAAUGUAAAUCAUUUA
RNAcentral lists this unclassified non-coding RNA (168 nucleotides) under soil metagenome. RNAcentral's name for it is "partial internal transcribed spacer 1". The record is from RNAcentral.